UAUUUAGUAAUACACAAUAUUAUUAAUUAAAUAAAACAUUGGGUUAUCGGUUCGGAACAUAACUGAAUGGUUUGAGUCCAAACUUGGGUUUGGUUUGGGUCGGUUUGAGUUUGGUUAAGUCGAUUUGGUUCGGUUCGGUUUGGUUAAAACGCCCACCUACCUAUAGUGAGAAAAAAAGAUAUUUAUGUUGAUAACUGAAAUGAGAAAUUGUGUCAAAGGAUUUAUGAAGGUUAGUGAAUGUUGCAGCUUUCUUGUAGAUCCAAAUAUAAAACUAGAGAAUGUUUUCAAGAAUCAAGAUUUGUAGCUUUUACAAAAUUUGAACAACUCAAAAACUUCUUGCAUUCUAGCUACAAUAAUUUGAGGGUUUAAGACAGAUUUAGAGCCAUUCAAGAG
RNAcentral lists this small RNA (393 nucleotides) under Arabidopsis thaliana (thale cress). Its description in RNAcentral is "ATSL212680". Lineage: Eukaryota; Viridiplantae; Streptophyta; Magnoliopsida; Brassicales; Brassicaceae. The record is from RNAcentral.